GGGGUCGUGGUGUAGCGGCAGCACAGCAGACUUUUAAUCUGGCAGGUGAGGGUUCGACCCCUUCCGGCCCCA
This 72-nucleotide transfer RNA is filed under the name Planctomycetota bacterium. Its description in RNAcentral is "Planctomycetes bacterium (activated sludge metagenome) tRNA-Lys". It matches the Rfam family "tRNA". From Rfam's summary of the family: Transfer RNA (tRNA) molecules are approximately 80 nucleotides in length. Their secondary structure includes four short double-helical elements and three loops (D, anti-codon, and T loops). Lineage: Bacteria; Pseudomonadati; Planctomycetota. The record is from RNAcentral.